GAUGAACGCUGGCGGCGUGCCUAAUACAUGCAAGUAGAACGCUGAAGGAAGGAGCUUGCUCUUUCCGGAUGAGUUGCGAACGGGUGAGUAACGCGUAGGUAACCUGCCUGGUAGCGGGGGAUAACUAUUGGAAACGAUAGCUAAUACCGCAUAACAGUAGAUGUUGCAUGACAUCUGCUUGAAAGGUGCAAUUGCACCACUACCAGAUGGACCUGCGUUGUAUUAGCUAGUUGGUGAGGUAACGGCUCACCAAGGCGACGAUACAUAGCCGACCUGAGAGGGUGAUCGGCCACACUGGGACUGAGACACGGCCCAGACUCCUACGGGAGGCAGCAGUAGGGAAUCUUCGGCAAUGGACGGAAGUCUGACCGAGCAACGCCGCGUGAGUGAAGAAGGUUUUCGGAUCGUAAAGCUCUGUUGUAAGAGAAGAACGAGUGUGAGAGUGGAAAGUUCACA
Molecule: ribosomal RNA, 456 nt
Filed under: Streptococcus australis
Lineage: Bacteria; Bacillati; Bacillota; Bacilli; Lactobacillales; Streptococcaceae
Description: bacterial SSU rRNA
Rfam family: Bacterial small subunit ribosomal RNA
Source: RNAcentral